Molecule: long non-coding RNA, 1692 nt
Organism: Triticum aestivum (bread wheat)
Lineage: Eukaryota; Viridiplantae; Streptophyta; Magnoliopsida; Poales; Poaceae
Exons: 2
Source: RefSeq, a predicted model, not a curated record
UUCCCGUAAGAGAAAAAAGUUUCCUCGGCGGCCCACCUUAUCCACUUCCCUCCCCAUCCUCCCAUGAUCCCUUCCCCACCAACGUCCCGCCGCCACCUCUCAGGCUCUGGCGCGCCUCCCGUCGCCCCCUCCAUCGGCCCGGACGCGCCUCCGCCGCCGCCCACCCUGGCUCCGAUGCGCCUCCACUGCCGCCAACCCUCGCCCCGACAAGCCUCCGCCGCCCCCCACCCUGGCCCCGACGCGCCUACGCCGCCGCCGAGGCCUCGACCUAAUCCCCACGCCCCCUCUAACCUCCCCUGUUAGCGCCACCCCGGCCUCCAUCACAGGUAACAGGCGCCGCCGCCACCACCUUCCUGCCCGGCAACAAGCACUGCCGCCCCCACCUCCCUCCGGCGGAGGAAGCACAGCUGCCCCCAUCUCCCUCCCCGGCAGACGCGCCACCGACCUCACCUCCCUCCCCGGCAGAUGCGCCGUCGUGCUCCACCUCCUGGCUGGGCCGCCGCAUGCCUCCACCUCCAGGCUUCCCGACGACCCCGUUCGAUCCAGCCCCAGUUGGUUCAAGAUGUAUCCGGCGCCUCCCUGCAGAUACUUCAAUACAUAGAAAUAGUGCCCUGCCAUCCUCCCUGCUCUGCUAGGGCCCGACGACGCGUUCCACCAUAUCCUCCCCGCGUCGAAAGCACUCAUCGGGAGCUCCACACUGUCGGGCAUCCCCCAUGUAGCAGAGGGCGCCUCCCUUCGGCAGUCCAACCCCAACGCGUGCCGCUAGCCAACCUGCAUCAGCACCGCGGAGCAAUCCUCCCCUCAACCCCCUCCUAUCCCACUGCACAACAGCGGCAAGAACCAGCUGUGGCUAUUUUUGUAGUGUGAUUUUUGUGUAAAAAAGCACACAACACGCUGGAGUCCGCUGUGCUGCUGAUCCACUCAAAUACAGUAGCAACAUCCGUGGAGCUCUUCUCGCGACAGGGAGCCUACAGCGGAACCGGAGUGGUUCAGGGGCAUAUCGAGCAGACUCUUUGACCCAGAGGUUUAUUUGUCCCCUUGUGAAGAGGCAGAGCAGAGUGUUUCUCGCCGAGCGAGCGAGCGAUCGAUGCAUGCACGUCAAGUCGCCUGCAGCAGAUAAACACAAGCGAAGGUUCAGACGACUGUCUGUUCGCCGUGCCAGGAUUCACUCGUGCUGCUUUUGUAAAGGCUCCAGAACUGCUACUCCAAGGUAAGAUCGAUAGGAUGAAACUAUGGGCAGCAAGCAGCAGUUACCUGUUCAGACGAGUGGUAUAAGCUGACUCCAACAAGGCACUAAAUUUUAUGAUUUGGUCCUUCUAAACUGUGUGGUGUAGGCUAUGGCAGCAGCACCAUUUUCCUCUUAAUUGUAACUUUUGUGUUUCUGCUACUGCUAACAGAGGAGAAGAAUGGCCAGCACCGAGCCACUUCUGCUACUGCUUGUGAUUGCUUGCACAACUUACCAAGAAGAAGACAAAACGAAAAAAAUGAAGGAGUUAAAGAGAUAAAAAAGUAGUGUGCAUACAUGGUGUGGAUAAGAAACGUGUGGUGUUUGAGAGGAUAAGGAAUGUAUGCUACUAUUCAAUGAUAAAACUAGGAAACAUUCUAUUUGACUAGUGCUCAGAGUCAACUAUAAAGCUUGUAUUUUUAAACUCUGAUUCACACUAGAACUUUAUAAAAAAGAAUUCAAAUUUA